UUCGCCAAGUUCACUUCGAAACAGUUUCUCGUUGCAAAAUGCCGUCAUUAUGUGUGGCUACACUUGCAAAGACAAAACAAGCACAUUCGAAGAGAAGCUCCCGCCUCCUGCCUCGAAGCGGAGCUCCCGCCUCAGCCAGGACCUGACCCGCUUCUCUGGAGCGGCGCCACCUGAGGCAACCGGAGCAAUUCGCCCUAAGGCAGCUCAAAACUGCUGGCUGCACUCGCUGAGACAGAAAAAAAAAAAAAUAUAUAUAUAUAUAUAUAAAAGAGAAUCCAGAAAGGGAUAAAAGCCUCUGCUUCAGCAAAGACCAGUGAAGCCAGAGCCACGCAGAAAAAAGGGCCGGACUGCCUGAGAGCACUGAUUUAAAAAGUGCCCUCCACAGCACCCUGCCUCCCCUGAGCUUCCUGCCCUCAGGGUCUUGAGGAGACAACAACAAAUUUUGGGCACAGAUACAUGUGGAAUAACAUUUUGGGCUAACCCAGGAUAAAACUACAGCAAACACACAGGAUUCCUUGGAGGGUUGAAGAGGAAACAGAGCAGCCAGAUUUUACAUGGUGAUGUGGUGUAGUCCUGCUUAUGCUCUCCUGUCUUUCUGGGUAUUGCCACACACGAGUGAUUCCCAAACUCAGAGAGAAUGAAGCAUCUCUGCUGCACCACACCUGCCCUGCAUGGAUCUCAAUUCCCAGCUGCUCUUGGUGCCAGGACACGAGUCUGGACAGGCUGGAAGUGAAGGGGUUAACACUAAUGCCUUUGUCAGUCAGGUCAAUUCUUUAAUAGUCACUUUAGGCUCCAUAAAUUCAAAUUCUCCUUUGUGCUGGGCCAAGGGGAAAAGAUAUGGUGAUGCAUCUUUAAGCAGUGAGGAUGAGAUCACCUGCUUUUUAUAGAAACUGAAAUCAUCCAAAAGCUGCACAGCAGCAGGCUGAGCACGUUUCUCAAGCUGCAUAAAAACAGCACUAUCUGGGAAUUUCUUUCUAAAUAAAAAAGGGAGCACAUACCCAGCCAGCUCUUAUCUUGAAAUAUGAUUCUUAGACACUGCUUUUAUUUCUUGGCAAGAAUUGAGGGGUUUGACUGGUUUUAUGUUAUUACUUCUCCAGUCAUUUAACUCCAUCUUUACAACUGGGAAGGUGAAAACCAGAUCCUUCAUUUUCCACUGGGUAUGAUGAGAAAUAUCAUAGCACUUUGAAUCUCAUCUGGACAGAACAAUCUGAUGCAGU
Molecule: long non-coding RNA, 1217 nt
Organism: Prinia subflava (tawny-flanked prinia)
Lineage: Eukaryota; Metazoa; Chordata; Aves; Passeriformes; Cisticolidae
Exons: 3
Source: RefSeq, a predicted model, not a curated record